AGGGAACCCCCUCUCUUCACCCGGAAACUGCGUGUUCCUUUAAUCUGGAGCAAGCGGGAGCCUCCUAUCCUGAUCUUCCUGCUGGGAACUGUAUUAAAAGAAUAAAAGAGGACUUUUUCCCCCUUAUUUUUCCCCAUUUUAAAGAAGACCAGCAAGAGGCUCCCUCCAAAGCAACAUCAAGAUGGCUCUAGAAAUCAUCCCUUAUGGGAUGCCUUAGUGAAAGGGUACCACACCAAGCUGAAGCAGACAUUCCACAAUGUUGAGGGCCACAUCACAGAUUCGGGAGCUGAUGUCAUGAUUCAAGACCAAGUAAACUGCUUUAAGAACCACCUUGAAAGAAGAAAUGAACUCUGUGCUGGAAAAUCACUUGCUCAGUGCUCUUGAAUAUCACCUCACCGUGGCUGUUGGAGUGGUCUGGCAGUUGAGCAGCUUCAAAAGCUGGAAAUGACUGGGCAUCUCCAGAUCAGAGAGGUCUUGGAAACGGCAGCAAAACUGCAGUGAGGAACACAGCCAUCACAUUUCUUACUACAAUGGAUACAAAUGAGUGAGAAAGUACUAUAAAGAAAUGAAAAUGCCCCUCUUCUUUCAUGUGAGGUGAAGAGAACAAGAAAAUGAGUAUCUGUAGUUGUAAUGCAGAGUGAUCAUUAAGUGAAUUAAGAGCAUUAGGAAUUCGAUUAGAAUGGAUAAAUGAGCUGGAAGCAA
Molecule: long non-coding RNA, 702 nt
Organism: Crotalus tigris (Tiger rattlesnake)
Lineage: Eukaryota; Metazoa; Chordata; Lepidosauria; Squamata; Viperidae
Exons: 5
Source: RefSeq, a predicted model, not a curated record